GCACAAGCUACAAAGAAAUUUUCUGAAACUCAGAUGGUUAUGAAUGUUCUCUGGACAAGAUUGAGUGAAACUGGUAAGAAUUGGCGUCUUGUCUAUAAGGCUUUGGCUGUUAUAGAGUAUUUGGUGGCGCAUGGAUCUGAACGUGCAGUGGAUGACAUUAUUGAACAUACUUUCCAGAUAUCUUCACUCUCGAGCUUUGAAUAUGUUGAGCCAAGUGGAAAGGACAUGGGCAUAAAUGUCAGGAAGAAGGCUGAAAACAUUGUGGCCCUUUUGAAUGAUAAAGAUAAAAUACAGGAAGUGAGAAAUAAAGCAGCUUCAAAUCGUGAAAAGUACUUUGGACUUUCUUCUACUGGAAUUACUUACAAGUCAG
This 370-nucleotide unclassified non-coding RNA is filed under the name Hevea brasiliensis (rubber tree). The record is from RNAcentral. Lineage: Eukaryota; Viridiplantae; Streptophyta; Magnoliopsida; Malpighiales; Euphorbiaceae.